RNAcentral lists this ribosomal RNA (492 nucleotides) under uncultured bacterium. RNAcentral describes it as "partial 16S ribosomal RNA". It matches the Rfam family "Bacterial small subunit ribosomal RNA", at positions 29 to 507 of the family's 1533-position model. The record is from RNAcentral.
AGUGAACGCUGGCGGUAGGCCUAACACAUGCAAGUCGAACGGCAGCACAGUAAGAGCUUGCUCUUACGGGUGGCGAGUGGCGGACGGGUGAGGAAUACAUCGGAAUCUACUUUUUCGUGGGGGAUAACGUAGGGAAACUUACGCUAAUACCGCAUACGACCUACGGGUGAAAGCAGGGGAUCUUCGGACCUUGCGCGAUUGAAUGAGCCGAUGUCGGAUUAGCUAGUUGGCGGGGUAAGGGCCCACCAAGGCGACGAUCCGUAGCUGGUCUGAGAGGAUGAUCAGCCACACUGGAACUGAGACACGGUCCAGACCCCCACGGGAGGCAGCAGUGGGGAAUAUUGGACAAAGGGCGCAAGCCUGAUCCAGCCAUACCGCGUGGGUGAAGAAGGCCUUCGGGUUGUAAAGCCCUUUUGUUGGGAAAGAAAAGCAGCAGGUUAAUACCCCGCUGUUCUGACGGUACCCAAAGAAUAAGCACCGGCUAACUUCGUG